AUUGAACGCUGGCGGCAGGCCUAACACAUGCAAGUCGAGCGAGCGGCGGACGGGUGAGUAAUGUAUGGGGACUGCCCGCUAGAGGGGGAUAACUACUGGAAACGGUAGCUAAUACCGCAUACUAUCGGAUAACCCAUAUGGGAUUAGCUAGUAGGUGAGGUAAUGGCUCACCGAGGCGACGAUCCCUAGCUGGUCUGAGAGGAUGAUCAGCAACACGGGGACUGGGAAACGGCCUAGACUUCGACGGAGGCAGAAGUGGGGAAUCUUGCACAAUGAGCGCAAGGCUGAGGCAGCCAGGCGGCGUGUAGGAAGAAGGCCCGAGGGUUGUAAAGUACUUUAAGUCGGGAGGCGUUACCGACAGAAGAAGCACCGGCUAACUCCGUGCCAGCAGCCGCGGUAAUAC
This 403-nucleotide ribosomal RNA is filed under the name uncultured bacterium. Its description in RNAcentral is "partial 16S ribosomal RNA". It matches the Rfam family "Bacterial small subunit ribosomal RNA", at positions 29 to 526 of the family's 1533-position model. The record is from RNAcentral.